RNAcentral lists this ribosomal RNA (520 nucleotides) under uncultured Glomus. RNAcentral describes it as "SSU rRNA". It matches the Rfam family "Eukaryotic small subunit ribosomal RNA", at positions 569 to 1087 of the family's 1831-position model. The record is from RNAcentral. Lineage: Eukaryota; Fungi; Glomeromycota; Glomeromycetes; Glomerales; Glomeraceae.
AACAGCCGCGGUAAUUCCAACUCCAAUAGCGUAUAUUAAAGUUGUUGCAGUUAAAAAGCUCGUAAGUUGAAUUUCGGGGUCAGUAGUUUGGUCGUGCCACUGGUAUGUACUGGGCUCACUGAUUCCUCCUUCCUGAUGAACUGUAAUGCCAUUAAUUUGGUGUUGCAGGGAAACUGGACUGUUACUUUGAAAAAAUUAGAGUGUUUAAAGCAAGCUAACGCUUGAAUACAUUAGCAUGGAAUAAUGAAAUAGGACGUUCGAUCCUAUUUCGUUGGUUUCUAGGAUUGACGUAAUGAUUAAUAGGGAUAGUUGGGGGCACUAGUAUUCAAUUGUCAGAGGUGAAAUUCUUGGAUUUAUUGAAGACUAACUACUGCGAAAGCAUUUGCCAAGGAUGUUUUCUAUUAAUCAAGAACGAAAGUUAGGGGAGUCGAAGACGAUCAGAUACCGUCGUAGUCUUAACCAUAAACUAUGCCGACUAGGGAUCGGAUGAUGUUAAUUUUUUAAUGACUCAUUCGGCGCC